UACGUAGGGGGCAAGCGUUGUCCGGAAUCAUUGGGCGUAAAGCGCGUGUAGGCGGUCCGGUAAGUCCGCUGUGAAAGUCGGGGGCUCAACCCUCGGAUGCCGGUGGAUACUGUCGGGCUCGAGUGCGGAAGAGGCGAGUGGAAUUCCUGGUGUAGCGGUGAAAUGCGCAGAUAUCAGGAGGAACACCAAUUGCGAAGGCAGCUCGCUGGGACGUUACUGACGCUGAGACGCGAAAGCGUGGGGAGCAAACAGG
Molecule: ribosomal RNA, 253 nt
Filed under: uncultured bacterium
Lineage: Bacteria
Description: partial 16S ribosomal RNA
Rfam family: Bacterial small subunit ribosomal RNA
Source: RNAcentral